Urocitellus parryii (Arctic ground squirrel) is the source of this 323-nucleotide long non-coding RNA. RefSeq lists it as uncharacterized. NCBI's taxonomy places the organism in Eukaryota, Metazoa, Chordata, Mammalia, Rodentia, Sciuridae. The record is from RefSeq and is a predicted model, not a curated record.
GUCACUUGCCUGUGUCCAGGAGAGGAAGCAGAGCUACCUUAGAGAGGAAGUAUCUUGAUGCGGCAAAGGGAAGGGAAUGGCAAACAGAGGAUCACCUUUGACCCACCGAGCUGCAUGAACUCAGUGCGGAGAUGGAACCCAGGCCCUCACACAAGCUAAGCAAGUGUUAUACCACGGAACCACACCCCCAGCCUGAGACCAUGUUUUAAGACUAUUGGUUUUUCACUUACAAAACAUCAUUACUUUUUGAAUGGGUGUAUGUAGGUAGUCUUUUUUUUUAAAUAAUUACUUAAUUUUUAAAUUAUGUUCCAAUAUUUAUUUAA